UAGCGAGCCUGUGGAAAUAGAAGCUAAAACUCUCUACAAUGAUAAAGCCCUUAUUGGCUGUUUGGUCGUCCUCAUCUGUGCAGUGGCAUUUCUCAUCUGUGGAAUGGCUUUCUUCAUCAGGAAGAGGAGAAAAAGCAGACAUGCUGUUAAUGAAGAAGGGCUGCUAGCCAUGACAGCAAGUAAGUCAAGUGGAGUAAGAGGAUAACAAUAAACUGUAUUCUUACUGUUAGGCCUUGGUUAGAGCACC
Cyprinodon variegatus (sheepshead minnow) is the source of this 247-nucleotide long non-coding RNA. RefSeq lists it as uncharacterized. The transcript is spliced from 3 exons. NCBI's taxonomy places the organism in Eukaryota, Metazoa, Chordata, Actinopteri, Cyprinodontiformes, Cyprinodontidae. The record is from RefSeq and is a predicted model, not a curated record.